AUCUGUUUAACUAUAGCAGUAGAAAGCUUUAAUUGUUCCAUCCGCAUAGAGUUAGUGUAUGUURUAURGCGGGGGGUUUGAGCCAUAUCUAGCGGUUAAUAUUUUAUUUGGUGUACUACCUUUGGGGGAGCAAGUUUAUUAAAGGGGAGAGGCCACAGUGCCAGCAUCCGCGGUUAUUCUGUUUUCUUUGUUUUCAUGUGGUUAUAGUUAAAUAAUAAGUAGUAAGGUUUGGUGAAAAUUCUUUACAGUGUUUUAUUUAUUUAAAUAGUACAAAAUAUAAUUUGAGUGACAGGGAUUAGAAACCCCCUUAAUUUUAUAUUUAAUUAUACUUAGUUUAAUAACUAAAUUAGUUUGGCAGUGAAUCACUCCGUUUGGGGGAGCGUGUGGCAUAAAAGAUGAUCCACUCAUAAAUCAACCUUGGUUAUGCUGGUGUAUAUCUGAUUUAAUAUUAAUGUUUAAUUAUAAAAAUUUGUGUAAAUUUAUUUAAGUCAAGUCUAUGUGCUGCCUGCCAAGGGGGCUUAUGCGCUACAAUUAUAAAAAUCUAGUUGAAAAUUAUUUGUAUAUAGGACUCAAUAGUAAUUGAAAAUUAGUAUGUUUCAGUGAAGYAGGUUUGAUUUAUGUACACACCGCCCGUCACCCUCGAUUUUUAUUGAGGUAAGUCGUAACAUGGUAGCCCCAAAUGAAUUUGGGGCUAAUUUCCUAAGGGAUAAA
This 711-nucleotide non-coding RNA is filed under the name Didymobothrium rudolphii. The record is from RNAcentral. Lineage: Eukaryota; Metazoa; Platyhelminthes; Cestoda; Spathebothriidea; Acrobothriidae.